GAACGCUGGCGGCAGGCCUAACACAUGCAGGUUCGAGCGGAUGAGGGGAGCUUGCUCCCUGAUUUAGCGGCGGACGGGCGAGUAAUGCCUAGGAAUCUGCCUGGUAGUGGGGGAUAACGUUCCGAAAGGAACGCUAAUACCGCAUACGUCCUACGGGAGAAAGCAGGGGACCUUCGGGCCUUGCGCUAUCAGAUGAGCCUAGGUCGGAUUAGCUAGUUGGUGAGGUAAUGGCUCACCAAGGCGACGAUCCGUAACUGGUCUGAGAGGAUGAUCAGUCACACUGGAACUGAGACACGGUCCAGACUCCUACGGGAGGCAGCAGUGGGGAAUAUUGGACAAUGGGCGAAAGCCUGAUCCAGCCAUGCCGCGUGUGUGAAGAAGGUCUUCGGAUUGUAAAGCACUUUAAGUUGGGAGGAAGGGCAUUAACCUAAUACGUUAGUGUUUUGACGUUACCAACAGAAUAAGCACCGGCUAACUUCGUGCCAGCAGCCGCGGUAAUACGAAGGGUGCAAGCGUUAAUCGGAAUUACUGGGCGUAAAGCGCGCGUAGGUGGUUCGUUAAGUUGGAUGUGAAAGCCCCGGGCUCAACCUGGGAACUGCAUCCAAAACUGGCGAGCUAGAGUACGGUAGAGGGUGGUGGAAUUUCCUGUGUAGCGGUGAAAUGCGUAGAUAUAGGAAGGAACACCAGUGGCGAAGGCGACCACCUGGACUGAUACUGACACUAGACGUGCGAA
RNAcentral lists this ribosomal RNA (733 nucleotides) under uncultured bacterium. Its description in RNAcentral is "bacterial SSU rRNA". It matches the Rfam family "Bacterial small subunit ribosomal RNA", at positions 31 to 757 of the family's 1533-position model. The record is from RNAcentral.